This is a long non-coding RNA of Micropterus salmoides (largemouth bass), 403 nucleotides long. RefSeq lists it as uncharacterized. The transcript has 4 exons. The record is from RefSeq and is a predicted model, not a curated record. NCBI's taxonomy places the organism in Eukaryota, Metazoa, Chordata, Actinopteri, Centrarchiformes, Centrarchidae.
UCGCCAUUUUGUAGUGCUGUCCGAAUGUAUAGUGAUAAUUAUUAUGCCCUAUAUAGUCCAGUUUUACUAAAAAUGAUGGCGAAUCGAAAAUGUGCUCAAACGUUUUCGGAGUUGUGACUCAGCGGGGGGAGCAAAUCAGACGGCCGACCAGAUCAGCUCACAGAGCCCUCAGAGAGUCCAGCAACAACGGCAGAGUAAAGACCCACAGCUGUAUGGUGGUUUUAACGAGAUCAGGCUGGGAAGUGGACUGAAUGAGAGCAGAGACACUUGUGGUAAACCUCAGGUGUCUGACUGGUGUCCACCUCAACAGCAGCACCUGAAUCUGACCAGCAGGGGGCACAACAACACGUCACACACUCAGACUGCUGCUGCUUCAUCCAUCCAUCCUCUCGUCCCUCUCCUC